Molecule: RNA transcript, 1596 nt
Organism: Panicum virgatum (switchgrass)
Lineage: Eukaryota; Viridiplantae; Streptophyta; Magnoliopsida; Poales; Poaceae
Exons: 8
Source: RefSeq, a predicted model, not a curated record
UUUAAAUUUCUCCUCUCACUGGCCCGCCGCUUGUGUGUCUGCCCACGAGGCCUGCGCCCCGCCCACGCCGCCCUCAGGGGCGGAGGAACGGCCUCCGCGCCCGGCGUACGGGCCGACCGCCGUGCGGCGCAGGCGCCUGCCCUCAGGGGCGGGGGAACGGCCUCCGCGCCCGGCGUGCGGGACGGCCGCCGUGCGGCGCGGGCGGCUCAAGGGGCUACGCCCAGGACGUGCGGGGCGAGCGGCGGAAGGGGCUACACGGCCGCCGUGCGCCGCGACCUGCGCGGUCGCCAUGCGCCGCGGCACACGGCCGGCAGGGGCGGGUGAAGGGGCUCCGGCGUGCGGCGCGCCCUCUACGGCCGGCUUGCCGCGCGGCGUCGGCCCACGGCUCGAUAACCGGCCACCGACGGCGUCGCUGACAGGGAAGGGGCUCCGCACCCACCAACGAUUGGACGACUUGCUCCAGAUUGGGCGGGGGGCGCGGCUGGCUGCGGGGCAAGCGCAGCUCGGGGCAGCGCUGAGCGCACGCAAGCCGAAUCCGCGGCGACUCGCACCACCCGGCCGGCUUCAGCGCCGUCCCCAACGACCUACUCCUCACCAACGGCCAGAUGGUCGACAACAUCCUGCCGGAGCAGCAUGCGCUCGUGCCGUCCUACAUGGGCGGCUGCGGCGGCGGAGGCGGAGGCAAGAGGAUCCAUCCGGCCUUCCAGUGCAACCGAGAUCCAUGGACCCGUGGAGCGUGGCUUGGGGCGACCGGAUGGAGUGCGUGCUCCAGCAGCACGACAGGAGCGAGGGUGGCUGUGAUUGGGACGGCGACGAUGGUCGAUGCUGAUCUGGCGCUGUCUCACCUAAAGUAAUAGGCCUCCUCUCCUGUCUGACUGGAGGAUGCUGAGGACAAUGGCCUCUCCCUCAAGACCACUUGCUCCUUUGCAAAUGACGCCGAGUGCAAGCCUCUGAUAUGCAGUAUGCAUGUUCUUGCAAGGGUGCGUUGCUGAUUGACUGGCCAAAUUAGGCACUGAAUUAUAUAAAGUUCAUGCGGAAAGUAUGCUUUGCAGAGUAGGAGUGAUGUGUCACUCCUGUAUGUUGAUCUGACGAUGAGUCACUUUGGUAACAGCAGCCUGGUGAGAUGAACUAAUAUCAACGCCCCAUUCGGCUGGGUGGGAAAGAACCCCAGCCGCAGCUGGUUCUUGCAUGUUGUGGCUGGUCUGGAUCGGCGGAUAAGCAGAUGGGUUAUCAUUUUCAAAUGGCACUAUCAAGGCUGGAAGUACAUUGGUGUUGGUCAGCUCUCCAUCGCAAGAAAAAACAUGCAGAGGGCUUUGUAACCAUGAGUUGUUGAGAACCAGAGGUUGGCUUCAAUCUUCGACUUCCUCCAAUUGAGAGCAUGGGAUUGCAUUAGCCUAUCAUGUCCUGAACUCCUAAUACCAAUUUUCAAGCUCUGAUUGGCUUCCAAAAAGUAGGGGAAACGACAGCCUUGAGCCUGUCCUUCUGAGAUGGUUUAUGCUUUUUGUCUAGCAUUUCUUAAGAUGAUACAUCAAAAUUCUAUGUAUGACAUGGUUUGAUGACAGUUCAUUUUGGAUUAUGCAUCAUGUGUUUUUUGUA